Oryzias latipes (Japanese medaka) is the source of this 1145-nucleotide long non-coding RNA. RefSeq lists it as uncharacterized. The record is from RefSeq and is a predicted model, not a curated record. NCBI's taxonomy places the organism in Eukaryota, Metazoa, Chordata, Actinopteri, Beloniformes, Adrianichthyidae.
GCACUUUUUUGGGGUUUUCUCUCUCCUCUUUCCUCCCUCCUGCAGUGAUGUCCUGUCCACCGGUUAUUGAGCUCCUGGACCUGUGGCCUGCUCUGAAAAUAGAGGGGGAGGUGUAUGCAGAGUUUCUGCGGAUUACAAAUCAGAACCUGCCCAACACCUUUUAUGCUGAACUUGACCAUCAUCUUCCUGGUCGACUUAUGACCCUAUGACCACUUAUGACCAGACAAAAGGCAUCAAAAACUGGGGGAACUGCAGACGCUCUGGCAGAAACAAAAAUCACGAUGAGCAGGACAUUCACACCAAGCCCACUACUGUUCUUCACGCCCCGCCUGUUUAUCUGCAUGAGGAUGUCUCUGGAGAUUUAAAACUUGCACAAUGCAGAAGGAUGAGUCUGAUGAGCCAGAGCUUGAUGGUGUCAUAGUGGGGCUUCUUACUGUCAUCAACGACCAUCACACAAGUCCAGUGCACUACGAGCCUGUAGAAAUCCCUGUUGUGAUUGAAAAUGAUGAAGUGGUCAGCCUCCCCAGAUUCUGUGAUGCCUUCGUGGUAAUGUUUGGACUCAUCUAUGCAAUGCAACUCAAAUAUCCCAAAGCCCUGACCAACACGUUUGAAUUUACUCAAAAGAUUUGACUUGGUCUAGAAGGUAAACUACCAUCCAGGUUGCAGAUCCUCAAAAAUGACUUGAUGACACAUAUGUAAAACUAAGUUGAAAUAAGGAGUCAUAAAGCAUUAUAACAGACUAUAGUUAUCUCCCUUUGUCUAAAAAAUGCCUCAAAAAUAUUGCACUAUAUACUCAAAGUUCACACUGUCUUUUAUCAAGUAACGCAAAUGUUUAGCUUGUUUUGACGUUUUUAUUAAGUGUAAUUUUCUUUAAUUUCAACAUUGCACAGAAGGGAGUGAGCAAAUAAUAUUGUUAGGCAGACGUUUAUGACAUCUUUAUUUAAGUUACUGUUACUUAAUGUUUUUUAGGCAAUCAUUUGCCUAAAAAUAUUUAAGUUUUGAAAUGAAUAGUUUUGGGGUGUACUGACUCAAAAGAUUUGAUUACCCCCGAAGGGGACUAAGUCAGGGUUAAUGGCCCACGAAGUAUGCAUUAUCACUUUUUAACGCACGCUGUGGAAGCGCUGCAAUCAAGAUUCAGCAAUAUA